This 709-nucleotide ribosomal RNA is filed under the name uncultured Veillonellaceae bacterium. RNAcentral's name for it is "bacterial SSU rRNA". It matches the Rfam family "Bacterial small subunit ribosomal RNA", at positions 61 to 737 of the family's 1533-position model. Lineage: Bacteria; Bacillati; Bacillota; Negativicutes; Veillonellales; Veillonellaceae. The record is from RNAcentral.
GUCGAACGGGAAGAGAUGAAGAGCUUGCUCUUUAUCGAAUCCAGUGGCAAACGGGUGAGUAACACGUAAACAACCUGCCUUCAGGAUGGGGACAACAGACGGAAACGACUGCUAAUACCGAAUACGUUCCACGGGCCGCAUGACCUGUGGAAGAAAGGGUAGCCUCUACCUGUAAGCUAUCGCCUGAAGAGGGGUUUGCGUCUGAUUAGGCAGUUGGUGGGGUAACGGCCCACCAAACCAACGAUCAGUAGCCGGUCUGAGAGGAUGAACGGCCACACUGGAACUGAGACACGGUCCAGACUCCUACGGGAGGCAGCAGUGGGGAAUCUUCCGCAAUGGACGAAAGUCUGACGGAGCAACGCCGCGUGAGUGAAGACGGCCUUCGGGUUGUAAAGCUCUGUGAUCCGGGACGAAAGAGCCUGAGGUAAAUAGCCUAAGGAAGUGACGGUACCGGAAAAGCAAGCCACGGCUAACUACGUGCCAGCAGCCGCGGUAAUACGUAGGUGGCAAGCGUUGUCCGGAAUUAUUGGGCGUAAAGCGCGCGCAGGCGGCUUCCUAAGUCCAUCUUAAAAGUGCGGGGCUUAACCCCGUGAUGGGAUGGAAACUGGGAAGCUGGAGUAUCGGAGAGGAAAGUGGAAUUCCUAGUGUAGCGGUGAAAUGCGUAGAGAUUAGGAAGAACACCGGUGGCGAAGGCGACUUUCUGGACGAA